Molecule: ribosomal RNA, 243 nt
Filed under: uncultured bacterium
Lineage: Bacteria
Description: partial 16S ribosomal RNA
Rfam family: Bacterial small subunit ribosomal RNA
Source: RNAcentral
UGAGGAACAUGACCUUCGGCGGGGGAGUAGCCGGCCCAACGGCCGGGUAAUACCGCGUACGACCACAUGGGGACAUCCCUGAGUGGUGAAAGCAGCAAUGCGCCGAUGGAGUGCCUCGCGGCCUAUCAGCUAGUUGGUGUGGAUAACGGCCCACCAAGGCGACGACGGGUAGCCGGCCUGAGAGGGUGACCGGCCACACUGGGACUGAGACACGGCCCAGACCUCCGUACGGGGAGGNACGCG